AUACGGAGGGCGCAAGCGUUAAUCGGAAUUACUGGGCGUAAAGCGCACGUAGGUGGUUUGGUAAGUUGGAUGUGAUAUCCCCGGGCUCAACCUGGGAAUGGCAUCCAAGAUUGCCAAGCUAGAGUCUGGUAGAGGGUGGUGGAAUUCCAGGUGUAGCGGUGAAAUGCGUAGAUAUCUGGAGGAACAUCAGUGGCGAAGGCGGUCACCUGGACCGAGACUGACACUGAGGUGCGAAAGCGUGGGUAGC
RNAcentral lists this ribosomal RNA (247 nucleotides) under uncultured bacterium. RNAcentral describes it as "partial 16S ribosomal RNA". It matches the Rfam family "Bacterial small subunit ribosomal RNA", at positions 523 to 769 of the family's 1533-position model. The record is from RNAcentral.